RNAcentral lists this ribosomal RNA (28 nucleotides) under uncultured Glomus. Its description in RNAcentral is "partial 28S ribosomal RNA". Lineage: Eukaryota; Fungi; Glomeromycota; Glomeromycetes; Glomerales; Glomeraceae. The record is from RNAcentral.
UGACCNCCAAUCAGGUAAAAUUACCCGC